Molecule: ribosomal RNA, 459 nt
Filed under: uncultured bacterium
Lineage: Bacteria
Description: partial 16S ribosomal RNA
Rfam family: Bacterial small subunit ribosomal RNA
Source: RNAcentral
CCUACGGGUGGCAGCAGUGAGGAAUAUUGGUCAAUGGCGUAAGCCUGAACCAGCCAAGUCGCGUGAGGGAUGAAGGUUCUAUGGAUCGUAAACCUCUUUUAUAAGGGAAUAAAGUGCGGGACGUGUCCCGUUUUGUAUGUACCUUAUGAAUAAGGAUCGGCUAACUCCGUGCCAGCAGCCGCGGUAAUACGGAUGAUCCGAGCGUUAUCCGGAUUUAUUGGGGUUAAAGGGUGCGUAGGCGGCCGUUUAAGUCAGAGGUGAAAGGCUGUGGCUCAACCAUCGAAUUGCCGUUGAAACUGGGAGGCUUGAGUAUGUUUGAGGCAGGCGGAAUGAGUGGUGUAGCGGUGAAAUGCUUAGAUAUCACGCAGAACCCCGAUUGCGAAGGCAGCCUGCCAAGCCAUGACUGACGCUGAUGCACGAAAGCGUGGGGAUCAAACAGGAUUAGAUACCCGGGUAGUC